Molecule: long non-coding RNA, 532 nt
Organism: Cheilinus undulatus (humphead wrasse)
Lineage: Eukaryota; Metazoa; Chordata; Actinopteri; Labriformes; Labridae
Exons: 3
Source: RefSeq, a predicted model, not a curated record
GUAAUUUGACCAGUCAUGAUGCCUUAUGCAGAGAGUGUUGUUGGCUAUGAGACGAAGAUCGGCCCGCCGUCUUCAGUACAUCAUGGUCGCUAUCGACUCGGGCUUGUUGUCAGAUCAAGGAAGUGACCAUCGGUCACGUCGCACUGCAUCUUGGGUAAUUUGGGUAUGCAUAGUAAGCUCAUGAUGCAUACUCAACAUUUCUGGCGAAUGCAGUAUGCAUCCGGGAACUUCUCGCAUACUCAAAAAUCGCAUCCUGCCAGUGUAGACACACUGCAUACUCAAAUAGUUAGUAUGAGUAGUAGGAUAUGGAAGCCAUACAUUGAUCACAUGGACACUCUCAAUUUGCAACAGGAAGACCCGGACUUGAUGUAGUUUUACUGCCCUGGAGGAGACUCAUCGAAAGCCUCACCAUUGUCCUUUAUUGUUAUUAUUUCAUUUUAUUUCAUUUCAUUUUAACUUUAUUUGUGUGUAUGUUCUUGUCUUGUUUCGUUCACCCGAUGAAUGUGUGUGGGUAGGUGGGAGGAGGAGGGCU